UAUCAAGUUAAUCUGACUCAUUUAGCGUCUGGCACUCCGCCUCGUAGAGUUACUACUCCACUGCUCGUUUGUCCUUUACUGCAAAACCUCAGCUGC
Molecule: long non-coding RNA, 96 nt
Organism: Etheostoma cragini (Arkansas darter)
Lineage: Eukaryota; Metazoa; Chordata; Actinopteri; Perciformes; Percidae
Exons: 3
Source: RefSeq, a predicted model, not a curated record